RNAcentral lists this microRNA (21 nucleotides) under Dasypus novemcinctus (nine-banded armadillo). RNAcentral describes it as "Dno-Mir-181-P2c_3p* (star (passenger))". The record is from RNAcentral. Lineage: Eukaryota; Metazoa; Chordata; Mammalia; Cingulata; Dasypodidae.
CCCGCCGGGAGAUGAAUGUCA